Molecule: long non-coding RNA, 305 nt
Organism: Ostrea edulis (European flat oyster)
Lineage: Eukaryota; Metazoa; Mollusca; Bivalvia; Ostreida; Ostreidae
Exons: 3
Source: RefSeq, a predicted model, not a curated record
UAUGUAGAUUUUUCAGAAAAUUUAGUUGAGAAUGGAUGGCAGUUAAGGAUGUUAAAACACCUUUUUGGUAUGUGAAUUGGCCUUUAUAACGAUGACUUUGCUCAACAAAGGGAAACAACUAUUGGGAAACUCGGAAAUUGCGUAUUGCUGCAACAUGUGAUGUACAUUGAGACCUAUAGUCACGAACAAUCUCUUUCAAGAACAGUUUGGGCAGAGGAUGCAAGGAAAUCGGGAUGUCAGAUAAACAAGUUGUUGAAGCAAACAUCGUUUGUAAUACUUCUUUGAAAAAUAAAAACAUAACUGAA